AACGAACGCUGGCGGCAUGCCUAACACAUGCAAGUCGAACGAGACCUUCGGGUCUAGUGGCGCACGGGUGCGUAACGCGUGGGAAUCUGCCCUUGGGUUCGGAAUAACAGUUGGAAACGACUGCUAAUACCGGAUGAUGACGUAAGUCCAAAGAUUUAUCGCCCAGGGAUGAGCCCGCGUAGGAUUAGCUAGUUGGUGGGGUAAAGGCCUACCAAGGCGACGAUCCUUAGCUGGUCUGAGAGGAUGAUCAGCCACACUGGGACUGAGACACGGCCCAGACUCCUACGGGAGGCAGCAGUGGGGAAUAUUAGGCGCUGGGCGAAAGCCUGAUCCAGCAAUGCCGCGUGAGUGAUGAAGGCCUUAGGGUUGUAAAACUCUUUUACCCGGGAUGAUAAUGACAGUACCGGGAGAAUAAGCCCCGGCUAACUCCGUG
Molecule: ribosomal RNA, 433 nt
Filed under: uncultured bacterium
Lineage: Bacteria
Description: partial 16S ribosomal RNA
Rfam family: Bacterial small subunit ribosomal RNA
Source: RNAcentral